CCUACGGGGGGCAGCAGUGGGGAAUAUUGCACAAUGGGGGAAACCCUGAUGCAGCGACGCCGCGUGAGCGAUGAAGUAUUUCGGUAUGUAAAGCUCUAUUAGCAGGGAAGAAAAUGAUGGUACCUGACUAAGAAGCCCCGGCUAACUACGUGCCAGCAGCCGCGGUAAUACGUAGGGGGCAAGCGUUAUCCGGAGUUACUGGGGGUAAUGGGAGGGUAGGCGGUACAGCAAGCCAGAUGUGAAAGCCCGGGGCUCAACCCCGGGACUGCAUUUGAAACGGUAAGGCUUGAGUGUCGGAGAGGCAGACGGAAUGCCUAGUGUAGCGGUGAAAUGCGUAGAUAUUAGGAGGAACACCAGUGGCGAAGGCGGCCUGCUGGAC
Molecule: ribosomal RNA, 379 nt
Filed under: uncultured bacterium
Lineage: Bacteria
Description: partial 16S ribosomal RNA
Rfam family: Bacterial small subunit ribosomal RNA
Source: RNAcentral